Molecule: ribosomal RNA, 253 nt
Filed under: uncultured bacterium
Lineage: Bacteria
Description: partial 16S ribosomal RNA
Rfam family: Bacterial small subunit ribosomal RNA
Source: RNAcentral
UACAGAGGUCCCAAGCGUUGUUCGGAUUCAUUGGGCGUAAAGGGUGCGUAGGCGGCGCGGUAAGUCGGGUGUGAAAUCUCGGGGCUUAACUCCGAAACUGCAUUCGAUACUGCCGUGCUUGAGGACUGGAGAGGAGACUGGAAUUUACGGUGUAGCGGUGAAAUGCGUAGAUAUCGUAAGGAAGACCAGUGGCGAAGGCGGGUCUCUGGACAGUUACUGACGCUGAGGCACGAAGGCCAGGGGAGCAAACGGG